AUGUUGUUCCUGGAGCUCAUCACAAAAUAUAGAUGGAUAUUUGACAAUGGCUCUGGCCUAGAUCUGGCAGACAAGUCUAAUAAGGGCCGGUUGCAUACGUCCAAUGAACAUGUGUGUAAGGUGCUUUCAGCCGUGGACAACAACUACAACAAAAACAUUCGACUCCAAAACCAGACGGGACGGCCAUCGGGCUAUUUCCCCAAGUGCUGCGACAACUGCAGGUCCUUCUCGGGGAUCGACGUCGGUGACGACGCCCAUCCUGAGUGCCCCAAGGGCUGCUUGCAGUGCCGCGUGGUGCAGACGAGCCCUGCCAAGACGUUCAGGUGCGCCGACUACCGCGGAGACUCCGACGACACGUGCGGCCCGCCCUGCAAGAAAAACUGA
RNAcentral lists this ribosomal RNA (384 nucleotides) under Triticum aestivum (bread wheat). Its description in RNAcentral is "partial small subunit ribosomal RNA". The record is from RNAcentral. Lineage: Eukaryota; Viridiplantae; Streptophyta; Magnoliopsida; Poales; Poaceae.